GGGGAGUACGCCUGUUAGUAGUAGCUGGGAAUACUCAAUUUACACUUAAGGAGUGCAAAUUAGGCCGCCACAAUCACUUUUGAUGCAAAAUAAACAUCUUAUGGAGAAAUGAAGUAUAAGUAGCAAGCUCCUACUUCCUUCUAUCCCAAAAAAGAGAAUAUUGAAACAUAGACAAGUGCAUUAACCAUGUACUUAAGAAAUGGUCCAUCCAACUAUUAACCAUCCUGAUAAGGAGCAAAAUACUCGCCAGACUAGUUACACAGCACCAGUCUUGGUAAAUUAUAUUCAGGGUCUUAACAUUACGAAAUUCAAUUCAAGUUUAAUGUGAAGUGUAGUUCCUACUUCCAAUAUUCAAUGAGGUAACAUGGAUUUCCUGAUAUCGUUAUUUUCCUUCCAUCCCUUCUCCUUCUGAUACUGUUCUUGUCUCUUUUAUUUUCUAGAGAACAAAAGAAGGCAAGAUUAAUGCACGGAUCAGAGGGGACUUCAAUCAAGUGUGGCACUAGAAGCUACGUAAUAAAGCUGAAUCAGUUUACAUCAGGUUUCUUUAAAUCAAGGUUUACAUCAGGUUUCUUUUAAUAAUAACUCUACCAACCAAUUAGUGAACAGAUUUACCAAGACUGUUGUUCAAGAUGAUCUUGUCCUGCACCCUAAGGUGGUGCUUGAGCAAAAAGUUAGACAAUUUGCUCAUGCAAUUCCUUCGCAGAGUUUUGCUUCCAUUUUAAGGCUUUGAACUCCAGUUUACCCUCUCACCUACGAAUAUGUCCAAAACGAACAAGUAUCAUACUGCCAAUUCUCAGAGCCAUUCUGCCUAAGCUUUCAUAAUCUAAGGUAGAUAAAAUCCUUAUUCCAUGAGAUGCUUGAUCAGUGGUAUACUCCAUUUUAAACGGUCAAAGACAUCUUCUGUGGAUCAAAGUUCAGUGACAUAACUAAGAAUCUUAAAUAUAUUUAAUCCAUAUAUGAGAGGUUAUUCUACAAUAAUGAAAAACAAAAGCUAAGGGAACAAACAUCAUUGAUUGAUUGUGUUGAUUUUCUUGUUUAAAUGAUCUCAACUGCGCUCCAAUAUGGAUAAGAAACUUCAGACCCUUUCCAACUAUCCUUUGGCAGCAACAUUCACCUUUUAUUCUCCAGCUUACAUGUAGGGCAACAUAGUCAAAUUUGUGAACUCUAUACUCACCUUAGUAUAGGAUCAGACAUUGGCAAGAAGUUAGACAAUUUGCUCAUGCAAUUCCUUCGCAGAGUUUUGCUUCCAUUUUAAGACUUUGAACUCCAGUUUACCCUCUAACCUACGAAUAUGUCCAAAACGAACAAGUAUCAUACUGCCAAUUCUCAGAGCCAUUCUGCCUAAGCUUUCAUAAUCUAAGGUAGAUAAAAUCCUUAUUCCAUGAGAUGCUUGAUCAGUGGUAUACUCCAUUUUAAACGGUCAAAGACAUCUUCUGUGGAUCAAAGUUCAGUGACAUAACUAAGAAUCUUAAAUAUAUUUAAUCCAUAUAUGAGAGGUUAUUCUACAAUAAUGAAAAACAAAAGCUAAGGGAACAAACAUCAUUGAUUGAUUGUGUUGAUUUUCUUGUUUAAAUGAUCUCAACUGCGCUCCAAUAUGGAUAAGAAACUUCAGACCCUUUCCAACUAUCCUUUGGCAGCAACAUUCACCUUUUAUUCUCCAGCUUACAUGUAGGGCAACAUAGUCAAAUUUGUGAACUCUAUACUCACCUUAGUAUAGGAUCAGAC
RNAcentral lists this long non-coding RNA (1725 nucleotides) under Nicotiana benthamiana. RNAcentral's name for it is "long non-coding RNA (NBEN_LNC032469)". The record is from RNAcentral. Lineage: Eukaryota; Viridiplantae; Streptophyta; Magnoliopsida; Solanales; Solanaceae.